This 1086-nucleotide long non-coding RNA is filed under the name Spirodela polyrhiza (greater duckweed). RNAcentral describes it as "long non-coding RNA (SPOL_LNC001089)". Lineage: Eukaryota; Viridiplantae; Streptophyta; Magnoliopsida; Alismatales; Araceae. The record is from RNAcentral.
GCGAAUCUGAAGUCAACGCCCCUCCCCUCACAACGGACCCCAGAAGGAAGUUUCUGCGAAGAGAAAGGAUCAGAGUGGAGGAGUUAUCAGCGCGGGAAGCUCCAUGGCCGGAUCAGAUGCAGCUGCCAUGGUGGAAUAUCGGGAGAAGUCUAGGCAGGCAUUCAUACUUGAGACGCCGCCCACGCCUUUUGUUUCAACCCGUCAUCAUGCGCAAGAACAUGAUCGCAUUGCUGUAGAAGAGCUUGCGAAUGCCGCAGUGCCAGGGCUCGAGCACGGGCAAGGGCACCCUUCAACGGAUGAUCGCAGCCAGAAGCUUCCCACUCAAACCUUUUACUUUCAUGGCAUCAUAUCCUUUCUCCGGGAAGAAUCAGGGGCCGAGAAGACAAGGCGCCAAGAAGAAUGAUCAGAGGAUUGCGCAAACACAGAGCCCCGAUUUCAUCGCCGGAUGAAGGGCGGCAGAAUUUUUUCUCUGCCAGCGGUGGAAAACGUUCGGGUUUAUUUCCAAAGAGAUCAAGAAUGGCGGAUGCGUUUGAUUUGAUUGUUUCAGCUUUUGGGAUCAGAUGCCAGAUUUCUGUCACAAAUGUUGGCAAAAGUUCGUUGAAUCGGAAAUAAACUCGGUUAUUCGCUUGCGAGUUCCUGAUUUUUUCCAAGGAUUUACGGAGAAAUCAUGCGAGAUCAUGCGUGAGUCGCAAAUCGGCGGGAGUUUGAUGGCGAGAUCGAGUACAAUGGAUCCGGAAAAUGCGAAGAGAAGCGCGUCCGCUCUGCCUCGGUUGAUGCUUGAUCGAGACGAAGAACAGGCGUAGAUGAUCGCAAUGGAUCAGUGGACCGGAACUCAAAAGCAGAUCGGAGGAUGCGACGCCAACCUCCGUACGUAAAAACAGCGAGGAGAUCGGCGAACGAAGGCUGCGCCGUCUUCCGAUCAGACAGCGCGCCGCGAUGCGGAUAGAGGCUGCCGGAGAACCACCAGAGCCAGAGGAGACGAUGAAGGGGAAGGAAGGAGCACGGCUGCCUCCGGGGCCGGGCUCCAAUCGUUAGGGUUCCAGCACGAGAUUCCGCAAAACGUCGAUUUACAGGUAGCUUCCUAAC